Molecule: ribosomal RNA, 745 nt
Filed under: uncultured Flavobacteriia bacterium
Lineage: Bacteria; Pseudomonadati; Bacteroidota; Flavobacteriia
Description: bacterial SSU rRNA
Rfam family: Bacterial small subunit ribosomal RNA
Source: RNAcentral
AGAGUUUGAUCAUGGCUCAGGAUGAACGCUAGCGGCAGGCCUAACACAUGCAAGUCGAACGGUAACAGGGAUUAGCCUAGCUAAUUUGCUGACGAGUGGCGCACGGGUGCGUAACGCGUAUACAAUCUGCCUUUAAGCGGGGAAUAGCCCAUGGAAACGUGGAUUAAUACCCCAUAGUCUAUAAACUUCACCUGGAGAUUAUAGUAAACAUUUAUGGCUUAAAGAUGAGUAUGCGUCCUAUUAGUUAGUUGGUAAGGUAACGGCUUACCAAGACCGCGAUAGGUAGGGGUCCUGAGAGGGAGAUCCCCCACACUGGUACUGAGACACGGACCAGACUCCUACGGGAGGCAGCAGUGAGGAAUAUUGGACAAUGGAGGCAACUCUGAUCCAGCCAUGCCGCGUGCAGGAAGACGGCCCUAUGGGUUGUAAACUGCUUUUAUACGGGAAGAACCACAUCUACGUGUAGAUGCUUGACGGUACCGUAUGAAUAAGGACCGGCUAACUCCGUGCCAGCAGCCGCGGUAAUACGGAGGGUCCAAGCGUUAUCCGGAAUCAUUGGGGUUUAAAGGGUCCGUAGGCGGGAUAAUAAGUCAGUGGUGAAAGUCUGCAGCUCAACUGUAGAAUUGAUUGCCCAUUGAAACUGUGGUUCUUGAAUUAUUAUGAAGGGGUUGGAAUGAGUAGGUGUAGCGGUGAAAAUGCAUAGAUAUUACUCAGAACACUAUUGCGAAGGCAGAUCACUAAUAAU